GCCGAGGUGGCGGAACUGGCAGACGCAGAGGACUCAAAAUCCUCCGCCCGCAAGGGUGUAGGGGUUCGACUCCCCUCCUCGGCA
Molecule: transfer RNA, 84 nt
Filed under: Deltaproteobacteria bacterium
Lineage: Bacteria; Pseudomonadati; Myxococcota; Myxococcia
Also listed under: 1 other name
Description: tRNA-Leu
Rfam family: tRNA
About the family: Transfer RNA (tRNA) molecules are approximately 80 nucleotides in length. Their secondary structure includes four short double-helical elements and three loops (D, anti-codon, and T loops).
Source: RNAcentral